Long non-coding RNA from Myzus persicae (green peach aphid), 543 nucleotides. RefSeq lists it as uncharacterized. The transcript is spliced from 2 exons. The record is from RefSeq and is a predicted model, not a curated record. NCBI's taxonomy places the organism in Eukaryota, Metazoa, Arthropoda, Insecta, Hemiptera, Aphididae.
CCGCCGCCGUCGUCGUCGUCACUCGGCAGGCCGCGUUUACGGUGUUGCCAACGCACACGAGACGUAUUAUGAUAUUACAUAAUAUUAUUAUUGUUGUGCCAUUGUUGUAGCUAAAAAGUAAAAAAUUAAUCGUGAAAAUAUCAUUUCAACUAAUACCCGUAUAAGAAUAUCACGAGAGUAAAACAUCAAUUAAUAUUGUGCGUUUUAAACGCAAGUGUUGAUCAGCACCGUCCUCAAUCGAUCUCUGACCGCAAUCGAAUUUUAGCGGCCCGACUUCAAUGAGUUCAAUAACAAUUAAUGUACCUAAUCGGAGUGUUGGAUUUCGGUUUCAUAUUUUUUUUUUUCGUUUGUUUGACACCCACUUACCCAAAAAAUUGCAAUAUUAUGAUCAUGUUCGCCUAAUGCCGGAAAACAAUCCGCGGCCUCUGCAGCACACACUGGACAGUCUUACUGGUUUCUCCGAGUGGGCAGAAUAGAGACCAAAAACCUAUCCGAGUGGCAUAAUUAGGUGUUUAUAUUUUUUGUCGUAGGUACGUGAAAAUC